CUUUGUUCUAUGUUCACAGUUCCUUUAGGCAAGAAGCUACUAUUCUAAGCGCACCGUGGGACCAAAGACACUUCUUUAAUUAGUCUAAAAGAAGAAAAAAAAAUGCAGUAAUGGCUGAAUUAGUGAUCAGCAUUUCAUCAAAGAAGCAUGAAAGGUGCCCUGCGCCCACACCGGCCGCUUUGGUCUCCAUGUACGGGCAGCCUCGGCACUGCCCGAAAGACUGCGGAAGAAAGAGGAACUUUCUGUGAGACCUGCUGCUCCGCCACAAGCUGGGAGCCAUGAGGACCAUUCCGUGUUUGUGGAGAGGAGCACCCAAGUCCCCGGGCACCUCCUGGUCCAGCAGAUGGAUCCGCAAAGCGCCRGCAUGAGGAUGAUGCCUCACAGGUAAGAGGUUGCCCAAAGCCCUGUUGCAGGGAAAAGCUCUGGACACCUGAAGCACGAGUGUCAAGCAGCAAGAAAAUGCCUCUAAUAAAUAGUGGGGGAAAUAUGGUAUAUUGCUUUUA
RNAcentral lists this long non-coding RNA (503 nucleotides) under Dromaius novaehollandiae (emu). RNAcentral describes it as "lncRNA (ENSDNVG00000001440.1)". Lineage: Eukaryota; Metazoa; Chordata; Aves; Casuariiformes; Dromaiidae. The record is from RNAcentral.